Non-coding RNA from Potamilus streckersoni, 67 nucleotides. The record is from the annotation of a GenBank genome assembly. Lineage: Eukaryota; Metazoa; Mollusca; Bivalvia; Unionida; Unionidae.
GUGGUCUAGUGGUUAGAACAUCUGCCUCGGAUGCGGGAUGUCGCGGGUUCGAACCACGAUUUAGUCA